Molecule: unclassified non-coding RNA, 299 nt
Organism: Callithrix jacchus (white-tufted-ear marmoset)
Lineage: Eukaryota; Metazoa; Chordata; Mammalia; Primates; Cebidae
Rfam family: Metazoan signal recognition particle RNA
About the family: The signal recognition particle (SRP) is a universally conserved ribonucleoprotein.
Source: Ensembl
GCCGGGUGCGGUGGCGCAUGCCUGUAGUCCCAGCUAUUUGGGAAGCGAAGGCUGGGGAUCCCUUGAGCCCAGUAGUUCUGGGCUGUAGUGCGCUAUGGCGAUCAGGUGUCCGCACUAAGUUCGGCAUCAACAUGGUGACCUCCCGGGAGUGGGGGACCACUAGGUGGCCUAAGGAGGGGUGAACCGGACCAGGUUGCAAACAGAGCAGGUCAAAACUCCCGUGCUGAUCAGUCUUGGAAUCGUGCAUCUGAAUAGCCAGUGCACUCCAGCCUGGGCAACAUGGUCAGACCCUGUCUCUU